CAAACACACAAUGCCACUUGUGAGGAAUAACUAAUCAGACCCUCGAAAUACCUCUGAAGAGCCCUAGAUGCCAUAAGCAUAAGCUCGCCACCGGCACACACUACCUCUUCAGAAGAAGAAUAAAAAGAUGGACAACAUAUGGCCAGAGGCAUUACCUCAACUGUACUCCUUCUGUCUGAGGCAUUGUCUCAGACUCAGGAGUAGGGAGAUAGUAUUGAGGUAAUUAUUAUGCCUCAGAUCCAUGAAC
Molecule: long non-coding RNA, 247 nt
Filed under: Elaeis guineensis (African oil palm)
Lineage: Eukaryota; Viridiplantae; Streptophyta; Magnoliopsida; Arecales; Arecaceae
Description: long non-coding RNA (EGUI_LNC036840)
Source: RNAcentral